GAUGAACGCUGGCGGCGUGCCUAAUACAUGCAAGUCGAGCGAACAGACGAGGAGCUUGCUCCUCUGACGUUAGCGGCGGACGGGUGAGUAACACGUGGAUAACCUACCUAUAAGACUGGGAUAACUUCGGGAAACCGGAGCUAAUACCGGAUAAUAUAUUGAACCGCAUGGUUCAAUAGUGAAAGACGGUUUUGCUGUCACUUAUAGAUGGAUCCGCGCCGCAUUAGCUAGUUGGUAAGGUAACGGCUUACCAAGGCGACGAUGCGUAGCCGACCUGAGAGGGUGAUCGGCCACACUGGAACUGAGACACGGUCCAGACUCCUGCGGGGGGCAGCAGUAGGGAAUCUUCCGCAAUGGACGAAAGCCUAACGGAGCAACACCGCGUGAGUGAUGAAGGUCUUCGGAUCGUAAAGCUCUGUUAUUAGGAGAGAACAAAUGUGUAAGUAACUAUGCACGUCUUGACAGUACCUAAUCAGAAAGCCACGGCUAACUACGUG
RNAcentral lists this ribosomal RNA (497 nucleotides) under uncultured bacterium. Its description in RNAcentral is "partial 16S ribosomal RNA". It matches the Rfam family "Bacterial small subunit ribosomal RNA", at positions 28 to 507 of the family's 1533-position model. The record is from RNAcentral.